UUGUCUCUGGUCAGUUGAUGUCAUUGUUCCAUUGGUUUGUUACUCUUUUUUUCAGAUUAAAGCAUUGGAUUUGUAGCUUCCCUUGGACUAAACAAGUACUAAUCUUCAGAAUUCUAUGUUCUUUUACCUGCUAAUCUUUUUGUACUCCUUUAACUUUCUUAUAUUCAAAUCAUACUUUCAUUAUUUCUUGCAGUAUAAGUUCAAAAUUAUGGCAUGAGACAUGGGGAUGCAAUUAAACUCAAUGGAGAAGGAAACCUGGAAAGGGAUGAACAGAGUAAUUAGUCUGUGUGAUGCCAUUAACCUUGACAAUAAUGAACUUAUGGGACUUGGAAUGAUACUAGAUGAAGAGGUCAGUUUAUUGGUAAAUUGUAUGAUCUGCAAAUAGUACAUGAUACUAUGAGUUAUAUAGUAGCUAUUAUAAAUCUAGAGGUAUCUUCUCAGUGCAUUAUAUAACACUAUAUUGGCUUAGUUGCGUGUGUAACUGUGUGAUGUUAUUAAUUCGUGCAAGUAUCAUUCAAUCCAAAAUUGGCUUGACCGCCGUUGCAGCUGGCCAUCGUCGUGAUGGUGGGUUCAUAACGCUGCUGCUUCUUAGGUGGAACGUCGUCGCUUCACGGCUGGUCGAAAUGCAGCGCCAAUGCAAAGGCAGGUUUAGCCAGCCCUGAAGUUCUGCAUCUAUGCGUACAUGUGAUGGCUUUCUAGGGCGUCACGUACAUAUAUGGUUUCCAGGUCAGAGUCUAUUGUUUUGAUUUUUUGUUUUUCCUUUUUAUGUUUUCCCAUUGUACUGAUUUUGAGUUUAUUUGAUACGAAUUAUAUGGUUAAUUUAGGUGAACAAAAUAUUUUGUUUGGUUUUCAGGCAAGUCAAUUCAGUUCGUUUUGAACAAAUGGAUUGUAUCUCUCAAACGGAAGGCAUGGAUUCCAUGGGCUCAAGGAGCUUUUUGCAUCAAUAUAAUUUUCCUCAUGUGUAUGAGAUUCGUUUUUGGUUUACUGUUGAAUCAACUGUGGCUUUUCCUUGGAUUCAGAUUAUAUUUUUACUCUAUCGUGUCCUCUGAUAGCGUUGUGCUCUCCACGGAUUGGAUCUGAAUCAUCUCACGUACAGGUUUUGGAUGCCUCAUGGAGAUCAGAUCGGAGGACACCAACUAUACCCAUACUCCACGAUCUUUUCCUCUUGAUUAUCUCUCUUUCCCCCAAUGUAAAAUGAAUGGAUCAAAUAGAAGACAUGGAUUCCGUGUGGUCGAGGAGCUUUAUGCAUCAAAAUAAUUUUCCUCAUCUACAUCAGGUUCGUACUUUCACACAGUCUAUUCUGAAUUUCGUUUUUGCAGGUCUAUGCUUGGAUCAACCGUUGCUUUUCCUUUUGAUUCAGAUUCAAUUUUUUCCCAUGUCCUCUCUUAGUUUGUUUCUCUUGAUGUAUUGGAUCCUUUAUCUUCUCAGGUACAAUUUUGGAUUCCACAUGGAGAUCAUGUCGGGGCACACCAACUAUACCCAUUGUUACUGCUCAAGAAUCUCCCACUAUGUACGAAGGUUGUCUCUGGUCAGUUGAUGUCAUUGUUCCAUUGGUUUGUUACUCUUUUUUUCAGAUUAAAGCAUUGGAUUUGUAGCUUCCCUUGGACUAAACAAGUACUAAUCUUCAGAAUUCUGUGUUCUUUUACCUGCUAAUCUUUUUGUACUCCUUUAACUUUGUUAUAUUCAAAUCAUACUUUCAUUAUUUCUUGCAGUAUAAGUUCAAAAUUAUGGCGUGAGACAUGGGGAUGCAAUUAAACUCAAUGGAGAAGGAAACCUGGAAAGGGAUGAACAGAGUAAUUAGUCUGUGUGAUGCCAUUAACCUUGACAACAAUGAACUUAUGGGACUUGGAAUGAUACUAGAUGAAGAGGUCAGUUUAUUGGUAAAUUUUAUGAUCUGCAAAUAGUAGAUGAUACUAUGAGUUAUAUAGUAGCUAUUAUAAAUCUAGAGGUAUCUUCUCAGUGCAUUAUAUAACACUAUAUUGGCUUAGCUGCGUGUGUAACUGUAUGAUGUUAUUAAUUCGUGCAAGUAUCAUUCAAUCCAAAAUUGGCUUGACCGCCGUUGCAGUUGGCCACCGUCGUGAUGGUGGGUUCAUAACGCUGCUACUUCUUGGGUGGAACGUCGUCGCUUCACGGCUGGUCGAAAUACAGCGCCAAUGCAAAGGCAGGUUUAGCCAGCCCUGAAGUUCUGCAUCUAUGCAUACAUGUGAUGGCUUUCUAGGGCGUCACGUACAUAUAUGGUUUCUAGAUCAGAGUCUAUUGUUUUGAUUUUUUGUUUUUCCUUUUUAUGUUUUCCCAUUGUACUGAUUUUGAGUUUAUUUGAUACGAAUUAUAUGGUUAAUUUAGGUGAACAGAAUAUUUUGUUUGGUUUUCAGGCAAGUCAAUUCAGUUCGUUUUGAGUAAGUCUUCAACACUGACUGUUUCGCAUUUUCUACUUAUAUGUGGAUUGUGUUUCUCACAUUCGGUGCUAUGUUUGAAUCUUUCAUAAUUUUGUGUUUCUUUAAGAGUUCCAACAGAUUCAUUUUUUGUUUCACGUUCUAACCGUCAAUGUGCACUUGAUUUUUGCUCUCCAGGGUUAUAAUUUGAAUUAUGUUGUUCUCCAUGUUUCCAGUUAUUUCUUUGAAGGGAGGUCAAUCGAUUGGUGAGGUCAUCAACGGCUGUCUAUGGUUGUCUCUAGGUAUCAAAAAUUAUUUCUCGGGCUAUUGUGGACACAGGUUAUUGUCUGCAACUACUCAUGUUACAGGCAAUGCUGCCAGAAAAUGUUCUAAUGUCAUGGACACUGUUCACAUGCAGCUGUAGAAUUUAUGUCUAAGGACCUUAUCCACACAAGGAUACUAUUGAACCUUCUUUGACAGUUGGAGACUGAGAUCGAGCAGAAGUAUGGCAACCAUGUCGUGUGGAAAAGGGCCCAUGAACUAGCAUGUCAUCAUGUCACCGUGUCAGACAAUACAUUGCGUAAUGCAUGAGAGGCUCAUAUUAAGCUUGGCCAUCUUCUCUUGAUUUUUUUUCAAUCAGAUUGUCGUACUAGGGAAUUUGCACUGCUUACAAGUAAGGAUCGGCCUUCACCUCACUCUAUGCAUUGUAACAUUGUUAUUUAAUUUAGGUUAAAGUUAUGAUAAAUGCAUGCCUGAUUUAGAGAUGAGAUGACUACUUUAAGUUCGGUUCAAG
RNAcentral lists this long non-coding RNA (3165 nucleotides) under Triticum aestivum (bread wheat). RNAcentral describes it as "long non-coding RNA (TAES_LNC001790)". The record is from RNAcentral. Lineage: Eukaryota; Viridiplantae; Streptophyta; Magnoliopsida; Poales; Poaceae.